CUGAGUUGGGGGCCUCCUGGGCUCUGGUGAGGAAACUGGUCCCCAGAGUUCUCUGGGCCCACUUUCCUGGCCUCAGUGGGAAGGAUCCAGAUUUGCUUUCUCGCUGGAUUUUGUAGGAGUUUCCUGAGGCCGACAAAUGGAGAAACCUCAUUAAGCCCGGAUGAGAGGACUGGGUCACGCCCCGAUGAUGACAAGCAGGGGCUGCCACUUGGCUCUGUGAGUGAAGCAGUCUAUUAAAUUUCAGAUAGAAGAAAUAAUCUGCUCCCUGCACUCCCUGAUCACUUUAUUAGCACAAAAGAUGAAUUUGAACCACAGAUUCAUGGCAAAAAG
Molecule: long non-coding RNA, 330 nt
Organism: Prionailurus viverrinus (fishing cat)
Lineage: Eukaryota; Metazoa; Chordata; Mammalia; Carnivora; Felidae
Exons: 3
Source: RefSeq, a predicted model, not a curated record